CCCUUAGAUGUUCUGGGCCGCACGCGCGCUACACUGAUGCAUUCAACGAGUUUCUUCCUGGUCCGAGAGGAAUGGGUAACCUUUUGAAAGUGCAUCGUGAUAGGGAUAGACUAUUGCAAUUAUUGGUCUUCAACGAGGAAUUCCUAGUAGACGUAGUUCAUCAGACUGCAUCGAUUACGUCCCUGCCCUUUGUACACACCGCCCGUCGCUCCUACCGAUUGAAUGCUCAGGUGAGCCAUUCGGACCUUCAUCAUGCCGGUUUCCGGUUUUGAUGAGGGAAAGCCUUGCGAACCUUAUCAUUUAGAGGAAGGAGAAGUCGUAACA
This 324-nucleotide ribosomal RNA is filed under the name uncultured eukaryote. RNAcentral describes it as "partial 18S ribosomal RNA". It matches the Rfam family "Eukaryotic small subunit ribosomal RNA", at positions 1470 to 1796 of the family's 1831-position model. The record is from RNAcentral.